CGACCUGUGGUGUAAUGGUCAGCAUGUUCGCCUCGCAAGCGAGUGAGCCCGGGUUAAAUCCCCGGCAGGGUGA
Molecule: non-coding RNA, 73 nt
Organism: Homarus americanus (American lobster)
Lineage: Eukaryota; Metazoa; Arthropoda; Malacostraca; Decapoda; Nephropidae
Source: the annotation of a RefSeq genome assembly